CUUGAAACCUAUAAGAGGUCCAGCCUGCCCAGUGACUUUGUUCAACGGCCGCGGUAUCCUAACCGUGCGAAGGUAGCGUAAUCACUUGUUCUUUAAAUGAGGACUAGUAUGAAUGGCACCACGAAGGUUAUACUGUCUCCUUUUUCUAAUCAGUGAAACUAAUCUUCCCGUGAAGAAGCGGGAAUAAAAAUAUAAGACGAGAAGACCCUAUGGAGCUUUAAACAAAUAUACAAUUGCCUCCUCUAAUAAAAAAUUCCAGAAAAGACACUUCUAUUUGGGCACUUUGAUAUAAAGUUUUAGGUUGGGGUGACCACGGAGUAAAAAACAACCUCCGCAGUGAAAGGGGCUUUCCCCCUAAACCGAGGGCUACAACCCUAAGAAUCAAUAAAUUGACACUAAUUGACCCAAUUAAUUGAUCAAUGAAC
This 425-nucleotide ribosomal RNA is filed under the name Leptodactylus fuscus group sp. ABGD cluster 22. RNAcentral's name for it is "partial large subunit ribosomal RNA". It matches the Rfam family "Bacterial large subunit ribosomal RNA", at positions 1835 to 2457 of the family's 2925-position model. Lineage: Eukaryota; Metazoa; Chordata; Amphibia; Anura; Leptodactylidae. The record is from RNAcentral.